AAAAAAAAAAAAGAAACCAAAAAAAUAGUGAUUUGCAAAAGGAAAGUUUGUAGAUUCCGUUUUUGGAUCCGAUUGAAGGUUGGACAUUUAAUAAUUACUUAGUUAUCAAUUCAUGGAAAAAAAAAAGAAAGAUUACAGAAAAAUAAAAUCUUAAGAGUAAAUCAAGAUUCGGUAGGACUUGAAACUUUUCAAAGUGAAAGGUGAUUAAUCCUUAUACAAAAAACUCAAUUGUAAUUAAAGAAGACACGUAGAAAUGAGCAAUAAGCAAUCAAGUAAAUCACAGCAAUCAGAACUUCAAAAAAUUUUAUGGAUUUUAGCUUUCUGUUCAAUUUCUCUAGUGUUUACAGGAAUUUGAUAUGGGUCUUUGGAUUUUUAAGUUUUUGUUUUUUAUUUUGGGAUUUUGGUUUUAGUUUUUUUUUGGAAUUUUUGUUUGAUUAUGAGUUUUGGUCGAUUUUU
This 456-nucleotide long non-coding RNA is filed under the name Durio zibethinus. Its description in RNAcentral is "long non-coding RNA (DZIB_LNC000750)". The record is from RNAcentral. Lineage: Eukaryota; Viridiplantae; Streptophyta; Magnoliopsida; Malvales; Malvaceae.